RNAcentral lists this ribosomal RNA (1074 nucleotides) under Apilactobacillus kunkeei. Its description in RNAcentral is "bacterial SSU rRNA". It matches the Rfam family "Bacterial small subunit ribosomal RNA", at positions 384 to 1450 of the family's 1533-position model. Lineage: Bacteria; Bacillati; Bacillota; Bacilli; Lactobacillales; Lactobacillaceae. The record is from RNAcentral.
CCCUGGAGCAACGCCGCGUGAGUGAUGAAGGUUUUCGGAUCGUAAAACUCUGUUGUUAAAGAAGAACAAGUGUUAGAGUAACUGUUAACACUUUGACGGUAUUUAACCAGAAAGCCACGGCUAACUACGUGCCAGCAGCCGCGGUAAUACGUAGGUGGCAAGCGUUGUCCGGAUUUAUUGGGCGUAAAGCGAGCGCAGGCGGUUUUGUAAGUCUGCUGUGAAAGCCCUCAGCUCAACUGAGGAAGUGCAGUGGAAACUACAAAACUUGAGUACAGAAGAGGAAAGUGGAACUCCAUGUGUAGCGGUGAAAUGCGUAGAUAUAUGGAAGAACACCAGUGGCGAAGGCGGCUUUCUGGUCUGUUACUGACGCUGAGGCUCGAAAGCAUGGGUAGCGAACAGGAUUAGAUACCCUGGUAGUCCAUGCCGUAAACGAUGAAUACUAGGUGUUGGAGGGUUUCCGCCCUUCAGUGCCGCAGCUAACGCAUUAAGUAUUCCGCCUGGGGAGUACGACCGCAAGGUUGAAACUCAAAGGAAUUGACGGGGGCCCGCACAAGUGGUGGAGCAUGUGGUUUAAUUCGAUGCUACGCGAAGAACCUUACCAGCUCUUGACAUCUUCUGCCAACCCAAGAGAUUGGGCGUUCCCUUCGGGGACAGAAUGACAGGUGGUGCAUGGUUGUCGUCAGCUCGUGUCGUGAGAUGUUGGGUUAAGUCCCGCAACGAGCGCAACCCUUAUUAUUAGUUGCCAGCAUUUAGUUGGGCACUCUAGUGAGACUGCCGGUGAUAAACCGGAGGAAGGUGGGGACGACGUCAAAUCAUCAUGCCCCUUAUGAGCUGGGCUACACACGUGCUACAAUGGAUGGUACAACGAGUCGCGAAACCGCGAGGUCAAGCUAAUCUCUUAAAGCCAUUCUCAGUUCGGAUUGCAGGCUGCAACUCGCCUGCAUGAAGUUGGAAUCACUAGUAAUCGUGGAUCAGCAUGCCACGGUGAAUACGUUCCCGGGCCUUGUACACACCGCCCGUCACACCAUGAGAGUUUGUAACACCCAAAGACGAUGGGGUAACCUUUUAGGAGCU